GUAUAAAAAGCGAAAAAUUUGCGUUCGGUUUCGGCCCGUAUUUUGGGGGUGUAAAUCCCUCUUUAUACU
RNAcentral lists this transfer RNA (69 nucleotides) under Otitoma sp. MNHN IM 2013-9848. Its description in RNAcentral is "tRNA-Arg". Lineage: Eukaryota; Metazoa; Mollusca; Gastropoda; Neogastropoda; Turridae. The record is from RNAcentral.